This 429-nucleotide ribosomal RNA is filed under the name uncultured bacterium. RNAcentral describes it as "bacterial SSU rRNA". It matches the Rfam family "Bacterial small subunit ribosomal RNA", at positions 355 to 776 of the family's 1533-position model. The record is from RNAcentral.
UGGGGAAUUUUGGACAAUGGGGGCAACCCUGAUCCAGCCAUUCCGCGUGAGUGAAGAAGGCCUUCGGGUUGUAAAGCUCUUUUGUUCGGGACGAAACGGUUUCACCUAAUACGUGAGACUACUGACGGUACCGGAAGAAUAAGCACCGGCUAACUACGUGCCAGCAGCCGCGGUAAUACGUAGGGUGCGAGCGUUAAUCGGAAUUACUGGGCGUAAAGCGUGCGCAGGCGGUUUUAUAAGCCAGAUGUGAAAUCCCCGGGCUCAACCUGGGAAUGGCAUUUGGGACUGUAAGGCUGGAGUAUGGCAGAGGAGACUAGAAUUCCUGGUGUAGCAGUGAAAUGCGUAGAUAUCAGGAGGAAUACCGAUGGCGAAGGCAGGUCUCUGGGUCAAUACUGACGCUCAUGCACGAAAGCGUGGGGAGCAAACAGG